RNAcentral lists this small nucleolar RNA (101 nucleotides) under Dipodomys ordii (Ord's kangaroo rat). Its description in RNAcentral is "Small nucleolar RNA U3". It matches the Rfam family "Small nucleolar RNA U3", at positions 1 to 102 of the family's 219-position model. From Rfam's summary of the family: Small nucleolar RNAs (snoRNAs) are involved in the processing and modification of rRNA in the nucleolus. The record is from Rfam by way of RNAcentral. Lineage: Eukaryota; Metazoa; Chordata; Mammalia; Rodentia; Heteromyidae.
AAGAUUUUACUUUUGGGGAUCAUUUCUAUAGUUUGUUACUAGAGAAACUCUAUUGAUCAUGUAGAGUACCAGAAAUCAAGAGGAGGAGGCACAGGAAAGAA